ACCUGCACUACCCGACACCGACGCGAAAGCACAAAGCCUAACUCCGGAGUGGCACUCGGGGGAGCUACCCAGCCGAGUAUGCAGCGUAGCUCUGUCGAGCUCAAUCAGGCCCUAACCAGCCAAACCCAAGUAACCAAAACAGACUUUGGGGCCCACCGCCUGCCCCGACGGCGCCCGACACCCCGUAACAGUCUACACUCAGCUAGUAUAAGCUCGGCGUCCCAGCACGAGCACAAACACAAGCUACACUACCCUGGGUAUCCAUCGCACAUAGCCCGCGACGAUACAAUGCAACAUGGCUCCUAGAGCUAAAUCCGGCAGUGUAUGUAAAUGACGAUCAACUCGGGAUUUUCUCCUAAGUCAAAUCCAAGUCCAACAAGUAUCAAUUAUCAUUACUCACUAAGCAUGCUCCCAAUUCAGGUUUUUAAUAUACUAAUCCAUGAAUUUGAGCUACCUCGUUUAGUGUUCAACGAACAAAGCAUACAAGUCGACUAAUAUGUACUUAGAGGCAAAACCGAUGAACCCACCUCUCUCAAGCAACUCCUGGCAGCGAAGAAAGUGGCCCGGAUUCAAAUUGAUCCCUCGCUGGUCCGUCGAAGUCCCCGGUUCCCCUGCUGCGAAGAGGUAAACCCAAUUACACUCAAAAUCACAAAAUCUGCCCAGAAAACAGCAGCGAAGAAAGCGUUAAAUCCGACCAAGCUAACCUUAUCCAAAUUCAGCAAACAAGGGUUCUGAAGCUUCGUCUCGAAGUCACGGAUCCAAUGGCCCAGGUUUCGCUGAAUUCCGACGCUCCUACGCAGAGAACGGGCCAGAAUACGAAACGUCGACGCUGGAACCUGCGAAACAGUAUCUCUGAAAUCUGCUCGGCAAACAGCAGCCUAGUAAAACUAGGGUUCGACAGGGCAAACCUGCUCCAAAAAUCACGAUCUUGGGCUCAGAAUCUUCGUCUCAAAGUCGCGAAUCUAGCACGCCAAAUUUCGUCGCGUUCCGACACUCCUACACAGAGAACUAGGUAAAACACGGCGGGUCGAUGCUGGAAUCAGCAAUCAGCACUUCAGAGUCUGCUCGGCAAACAGCAACUCAGUAAAAAGGGAUUUCGACAGAGCAAACCUUCUCCAAAUCGGGCGAGUAAGGAUCCUAUGAAUUCGUCUCGAAGUCUCGGUUCCAACGAAUCAAACCGCGUCACGUUCCGAUGCUCCUGCGCGGAAUACGAGUCAAAGCUCUGCGGGUCGACGCUGGAAUCAACAGCAGCAGCAGUGCAGUUCGAAAAUCGUAGAAGUUUAAAGCCAAAAAAAAAAAAGCGAUCUCGAGGAACCACUCACCUCGACAAACCCUCCCUGCGAGCAGCACCUCGUCGAAAACUCGCUCGAUCCGCUACGCGGCGCGUCGUCGACGAAGCUCGAGCUUCUCUUGAGCUCCUCCAACACUCUAGGUUGCUAAGGGAAGUAAAAGGAGAGGAAGAAGAAGCACAGCAACAGCAGCAGCAUGAAGGAGCUCCCCUCUCUCUCUCCUCUCUGCUCCAAGAUAAGGGUUAAAGGGGGGUGAUGUGACAAGAUGGCCAAAAAGUCAACUUGCACCCUGCUUCCACUUUGUACCGGUACAGCUCACUGAAAAUCUGCUAUUUCGCAGAUCUUCAAGAUACCCGCUGCUCUCAAGUUCCCACAAGGCCCGUUUGGCGUCCACUUCGCGCCAACGCGACCCGGACUUGUCCUGACACUCUCCAGAGCUGUCGACAAGCCUCAGCUAAAAUUCUAGGUCUCUACACGUCGUGAGAUAUUUCAGCUUUCCUCGAAAUCUUGGAUUCUUCGUUCUUCGACGAUACGCAUCGAUCCUUCAAGAUUUCGACUCAAUUCACGAAACUUGCCAACACACAAGACUUAACAUAGUGGCAUGUAGCUGUAGAGUUUUUCAGCUUCCUUUACUAUCUUUGAGCAUACUUUCUGUAGACUUAGCGGGUGAGCCGUUUAGGUCUGUAGCGCUACCAACUGAGGACUACUUCUUUUUGCAGUAGUUCUCACACCCAGUUGUUGACCCCUUUUUGCAAAGCCUUCGUCUUCGGCUGCUGGUGGUGCUGAUAUAGAUAGUGGAAAGGGAGUCGCGAGCUAGAUCCCUUCCAGACGUGUUUCAGAGCUAGAGGAGUUCCUCCCACAGGUAGUUUUUGGGUCAUUCGGUGUUCUUGUACAUACCUAUGUCUGUUGGCUCGCUGGAGCGAAUGGUGUCUGUAUUUUGGACUGUGUAUGUAUAGUGAACCUGGUUUUUAUUAUAUAUAUUUCUUUUAGCAGCUCUCUACCUUGUGGUUGUAGCUUGAUUGUGUUUACAGGUACAGUUAUCGCUUCGUAUACUAGAAAAUUUCUAAGUAUACGGCGAAUCUGUUGGCGUGCCCAAGGAAACGAGUAAUCCGGGGCGUGACAAUUUUUGUUAUUCCCACUUAUAUCCCAAACCAAAUGGGUUAGGGUUGAGUGGAUGGUUGGUUAAAUAGUAUGAUCUAAUAGAUGAAAAUAAUCAAAGAGGUAGAUCUAAUAGUGGAAAAUUUGAUAGCACCAAGCGCUUUAUGCUAUUGAUAGUAUAGUAAUUGGAUUCUCUCUCUCUUUCUCUCUCUCAUUGAUGCUAUUAGAUUUUCAAUCCUUGGAUGAUGGGAUGUGCGAUUAGAAUGACAGUGGUCCCCUCGGAUUGAGUGGAUGGUUGAUUGAAUAGUGCGAUGUCACGCCCUGGAUUACCGGGGAAACCAGAUUACCACGUUUCCUCGGACACGCCAAAAGACCUGUCGUAUACAUAGAAAUUUUUCGUGUAUAUGAAGAGAUAACUAUACCUGUAGAUAGAAUAUAGCUACACCAGAGGUAAAGAGCUGCUAUAACUAAAACAUGUAUAAAAACAUAGAGGGUCCACUAUACAUACAAAAGCCACGGAACAACCUCGCUCCAGCGAGUACAAUGACAUAACGGUAUGUACAUACAAACCCCAAAACUACCUCAGCAUGGUACUCCUCUAACAUAGCAACCAAGGAUGGUAGGGAUCUAGCUCGCGACUCCCUUAUCGCGGUUGAAAUCAGCAACAACAGCAGCAGCGGACGGCCCUGCAAAAAAAAAAGUGGCAACAACAGGGUGUGAGAACUACUACAAAAUAGAAUAGCCCUCAGUGGGUACCGUCACCGACCUUAACGGCCCAUCCACUAAGUCUACAG
This 3181-nucleotide long non-coding RNA is filed under the name Ananas comosus (pineapple). Its description in RNAcentral is "long non-coding RNA (ACOM_LNC014601)". Lineage: Eukaryota; Viridiplantae; Streptophyta; Magnoliopsida; Poales; Bromeliaceae. The record is from RNAcentral.